GAGUCAUCGAGUCUUUGAACGCAAAUUGCGCUCGAGGCCUCCGGGUCGAGAGCAUGUCUGCCUCAGCGUCGCUCAUACCCAAUCGGAUCCACCUCUUUUGAUAUUCAAAGGUAGGAGGACCGGAAAUGGCCGUCCGGUUUCAAGAUCGGUCGGCUGAAAGGAAUGUUCCGCUCGCAAUCCCCCUUUGAUGGGAAAGAGCCAGCCGGUAAGCAUGACCCUCUCCCUGCGGAGAAGGCCUAGCCUGCCGUUGAGCUCUGGUUGUGGGUUUCUGAGGAGCUUGACAGGAACCAACAUUUGAACAUCGACCUGAGAUCAGGCAAGGACACCCGCUGAACUUAA
This 339-nucleotide ribosomal RNA is filed under the name uncultured fungus. Its description in RNAcentral is "eukaryotic LSU rRNA". The stretch from base 1 to 71 matches the Rfam family "5.8S ribosomal RNA", at positions 86 to 154 of the family's 154-position model. The record is from RNAcentral. Lineage: Eukaryota; Fungi.